Long non-coding RNA from Sinocyclocheilus grahami, 198 nucleotides. RefSeq lists it as uncharacterized. The record is from RefSeq and is a predicted model, not a curated record. The transcript has 3 exons. NCBI's taxonomy places the organism in Eukaryota, Metazoa, Chordata, Actinopteri, Cypriniformes, Cyprinidae.
CAGCAAAACUGUCAAAGGACCUCCUGGUUCAGAGAAUAAAAAGAGGAAACGAAAACGGCAAGAUAAAGGAGCUCUGUUGAAAUCUUUUGGAGGUGGGGCACAACCAAUGCCGCCAGCCCCAAUUGCUAGUGCUACAGCUGAUGAUACAGCAGGUCCAUCCUCUGCAGGUGAGGAGCACUUACCAGCACCUGCAUCCAC